This 763-nucleotide ribosomal RNA is filed under the name uncultured Serratia sp. Its description in RNAcentral is "bacterial SSU rRNA". It matches the Rfam family "Bacterial small subunit ribosomal RNA", at positions 737 to 1502 of the family's 1533-position model. Lineage: Bacteria; Pseudomonadati; Pseudomonadota; Gammaproteobacteria; Enterobacterales; Yersiniaceae. The record is from RNAcentral.
AGACUGACGCUCAGUGCGAAAGCGUGGGGAGCAAACAGGACUAGAUACCCUGGUAGUCACGCUGUAAACGAUGUCGAUUUGGAGGUGUUCCCUUGAGGAGUGGCUUCCGGAGCUAACGCGUUAAAUCGACCGCCUGGGGAGUACGGCCGCAAGGUUAAAACUCAAAUGAAUUGACGGGGGCCCGCACAAGCGGUGGAGCAUGUGGUUUAAUUCGAUGCAACGCGAAGAACCUUACCUACUCUUGACAUCCAGAGAAUUUAGCAGAGAUGCUUUAGUGCCUUCGGGAACUCUGAGACAGGUGCUGCAUGGCUGUCGUCAGCUCGUGUUGUGAAAUGUUGGGUUAAGUCCCGCAACGAGCGCAACCCUUAUCCUUUGUUGCCAGCACGUUAUGGUGGGAACUCAAAGGAGACUGCCGGUGAUAAACCGGAGGAAGGUGGGGAUGACGUCAAGUCAUCAUGGCCCUUACGAGUAGGGCUACACACGUGCUACAAUGGCGUAUACAAAGAGAAGCGACCUCGCGAGAGCAAGCGGAACUCAUAAAGUACGUCGUAGUCCGGAUUGGAGUCUGCAACUCGACUCCAUGAAGUCGGAAUCGCUAGUAAUCGUAGAUCAGAAUGCUACGGUGAAUACGUUCCCGGGCCUUGUACACACCGCCCGUCACACCAUGGGAGUGGGUUGCAAAAGAAGUAGGUAGCUUAACCUUCGGGAGGGCGCUUACCACUUUGUGAUUCAUGACUGGGGUGAAGUCGUAACAAGGUAACCA